Molecule: RNA transcript, 1205 nt
Organism: Salvia splendens (bonfire salvia)
Lineage: Eukaryota; Viridiplantae; Streptophyta; Magnoliopsida; Lamiales; Lamiaceae
Gene name: glycosyltransferase family protein 64 C3
Exons: 3
Source: RefSeq, a predicted model, not a curated record
CCAGUUACGAGUAAUGCAUUUUCUUUAAGUCAUCAUCCUAUUCCUUGCUCAUAAUUUCAAAUCAGCUUCAGCAAGUAAUCAAUCAACAAAUCCAAAUGAGGAUCACAAUCAUCUGGUUAAUCUCACUUCACCUGCCCCUUUUCGUCAUUUCAUCUCGAUUAAUCCCCCACCCGCAAUGCAUCCGACCCGACCCGACCACCCUCCGCUCUGACCAGAUGACCGUCGUGAUCAACGGCUACUCGGAGCACCGUAUCCCGCUACUCCGCUCCAUCACCGCCGCCUACUCCGCCUCGCCCUCAGUCGCCGCCGUCAUCCUCCUCUGGUGCAACCCCUCCACGCCGACCCGCACACUAUCCGACCUCACUCAAAAUCUAUCCGCCGCCGUGCUCCGCGCGCCCUCCGCCAGCCUCAACCACCGAUUCCACCCCUGGGAGGUGAUCCAGACCCGAGCCGUCCUGAUCUGCGACGACGACAUCGAACCCGACCUGAAUUCCAUCUCCUUCGCCUUCAAUGUGUGGAGAUCCGACCCGAAUCGGGCGGUUGGGUUCUUCGCCCGGUCGCACGCGUACGACGUGGCGACGAGGGCGUGGAUCUACGCGAUGGAGAGGGAGAAGUACUCGAUUGUGCUCACGAAGCUCAUGAUCGUGAGCGCCGAGUACCUCGGGAUCUACUCGUGCGACGCGCGGUACGCGGCGGCGAGGGAGAUUGUGGAUGAGAUGAACAAUUGCGAGGAUAUUCUGAUGAAUUUCGUGGUGGCGGAGGAGAGUGGGAAGGGGCCGGUGAUGGUGGGGGCGAGGGGAGGGGGAAUUAGGGAUUACGGCGACGCGAGGAACGAUGGCGUGGCGGCGGGGAUGAGGGAGGUGGGGCUGAGCAGUAGGAGAGUGGAGCACAGGAAGAGGAGAGGGGAGUGCAUAACGCGGUUUCAUAGGGUUUUGGGGAGAAUGCCGUUGAAGUAUAGCUAUGGGAAAAUGGUGGAUGAUGUUGGGGAACAGGGGCUGUGUGACAAGGGUGGGAAACUGAUGCUUUGUGAUCAUCAAGAUUUCAGAUGAUGAUGAUGAAAUUGAAAGAUAAGAUGGUUCUGAUGACGAUAGAGGCAGCCAAAUUGACAAGGAUAGAGGCAGCCAAAUUGCCCUCAAAUGGGCUACCGACAAUCUCCUUAUAAAAGGGCCUAACCAUGCGUCUGAAGCUGGCGACGAAAUUGGAGA